GUCACAUUGAAGUUCCUGCUGUUACCUUGAGCAGCUCCUUCUCUUGGCAUGCAUAGGAAGCUUCCAGCUGUUGUAACUUAACCUAAAGAAAGCAAAAGAGACUGCUAACUUGGCAAGGUAAAAGCUGUGCAGGAAUGGAAUGCUGUCACCAAGGUGGCCUCACGAGCUGUGAGGAGCCUCAGGGCCAUGACUUCACACGUCUCCUGAUAGAGGAAUUAAGCCACCCAGCACCGUUUGCAGCUGCUUGAUGGGUAUCAUUGUCUCCAUUUUACAAGUGAGGAAGCAGAGGUUCAGAGUUGCUGUCCAAGAGCAUCAUACAUACAGUGGUGCAGCGGAGAUUCAAAUUGUGAUCUGAUGAUAAGCCGAGAUCUUCCUACAACAUGAUCUCUAUUGCUCCAGAGAGAAGAACUAGGAUCAAUGACUUAAAGUUACCCAGAGAAGAGUCAGCAUAAGAAAAUUCAGCAUAAGAUGCUGAGUGAAUAUCAGGAGGAACUUUUCAUCACCUAGAGCCAGAAGCAUUCUUGAAUAUGAAAGGGCUCUGAGCCUUGCCGCUCCCACUCUCACUGCAGGUCUGCAAAUAGGAAAUGAAUGACUACCUGUCACAGAAGCUGUGAAUGUGAUAGCUGUGUUAGGGAAAAUGUUGAUCCACAUCACCUCCGAAAUCCCUUCCAAUUAGUGUACCCUUUGAGUCUGUGACAUUCUGCACCCUCAAAGAGUCUAUAUACUUCUGAGAAAAUGGGACAAAGGGGAAAGUAACUUUUUAGAAAGAAUUUUAAACAUUCGUGUUGAUUAUCAACAUCAUGCUUAUUAUAGGCAAUUUGGAAAAUUCAGGAAAGUAGUAAGAAGAAAAGAAAUGCUACACAACAACACAGUGAUAGCCACAGUGAACACUUGGUGUCUCUUCUUUCAUUUUUCUCCAUGUUUAUCAAAUUU
This 933-nucleotide long non-coding RNA is filed under the name Homo sapiens (human). RNAcentral describes it as "HSALNT0218643". Lineage: Eukaryota; Metazoa; Chordata; Mammalia; Primates; Hominidae. The record is from RNAcentral.